AGUAUUCCAGCCUAGCUGGGGCGUCGGCGGUCUCGAGUUUGAGCACGAAGUAGCGCCUGUGCCCAUGCUUCUGCUUCCGCAGGUAGCCGCGUUUGCAGACUUCGGCCCCGACGGGGAGGUCCUCCUCUUCGGACUCAGAAUCCGACCGGGAGCCAGUGGCCGUGGAGAGCCACAUGGCUCCCGGACAAGACGACCCGGUCCCAAUGAGUGCGGUUGGGGUUCCCGAAGAAAGAAGCGGGGUGGUCGCCGCUGCUGUUAGAGCCGCUGCUGCUGCCGCUGCUGCACCUCUCAGUCUCCUUGUCGCUUGGUCGCGAGCGAAGGAGCAACUCGCCAUGGUGAUGCGCGAUGGUUUUAAGUGUGGUCCACUCCCUUCCGCUGCUCACCAUGGCCCGAGCUUCUUGGGAGAGAGAGUCAACACCCCCAGAAAACGUGUUAACGACCUGGGCCUUCAGACCUGCCACCCACCGCCCCGCAGGCACUCCCGAACCCGCGCCACCCCUGACAAAAACCCGCGACUCUAAGACACACGAAUAACAGCGAUACCUUCAAAAUGAACAUAAUUUUUAACCAGAGCGCAUUUCUAGCCCAUGAGACACAGGUUCGCUAAAGAUGUUGUUUCUGGCUAUUUAUGAUGACUAUGAAGGCACAAAUUUGGGGGCCUGCACAGUAUACAACCAUGAUGAAAAAAAAAAUAGGACUCAAGUCUUACUGAACUACACCAGUGUUGAGCUAGUGUGAUAUUUUCCUGUGGAAGAUGCUUUGAAAGGUGCCUUUAAAGGAAUCUUAGAAUAUUAAGUUUCUCUUUCUCUGAGCGACACUGAAAAACUUUAGAAAAAUAAAAACUCGUACCUAGAACAAAGGACUAUACUGAAUACGUAGCCUAGAAUAUAUUUCACAUCCUCGCGUCAAAAAAAGAAGAUCUUUGCUGCAUUUCAGUCUACAAGUUCUGCAUUUCAGAACUACUGCCUCCCUUGUUUCUGGAAAAACUGCUGGAGUGUUACCCCAGAGGGCUAAAGUUGCUUUGCAUAUUCAGUUGUAGCAUCUGUGAAGUAUGGACUCUGAAUCAAGAAUUGGAAACAUAGAUUUUUAAAACAACAGAUAAGAAAUAGUAAUACCUACAAUAUUUCUUAUUUUAGUUUGUCAGUUUAGCUGAGAAAAAAAACCCACAAGCAUUGCAGUUGGUAUUUUACAUGUAUAAACUAAAGCAAAUGAAUAAAGAGGCACAGUACCUUUAAAACAGAUUCCAUCUAAUGAAGAAAUAUGUCUUUAACGGGGUUUGCCUUUAUAAGGAAUUUCAGGUGAAUCCUGUUUUACAAAAGCAAUUAUUUUACAUAAAUGACUAGUCAGUGUUAAUAAAAACUCAUCUGCUUCUUUCCUUACAUACAUGAUCAUCAGUAUUCUAAACUCAACUUGUACUAAAAUCAAAAUGGAUACUUGAAGUGUGGAUUCACUUAGCUUAAAAAUUAAACUGUUGCAUUAAAUACAGAUGACAUUAUUUGGGAGAAUAAAACCUAAGAGGAAAAGUAACCGGUAUAAAAGAAUUAUUAGUCUUGCCCAAUGUAUAAAUUAUUAUUUGAGUAUUAACUCUAUAAUCUUUGUGAGCCAACGUCCAAUUAUGUUGAUAAAAA
Molecule: non-coding RNA, 1628 nt
Organism: Microcebus murinus (gray mouse lemur)
Lineage: Eukaryota; Metazoa; Chordata; Mammalia; Primates; Cheirogaleidae
Source: RefSeq, a predicted model, not a curated record